GAUGAAGAACGUAGUGAAGUGCGAUAAGUAGUGUGAAUUGCAGAAUUUCGUGAAUCAUCGAAUCUUUGAACGCAAAUUGCACUCUCCGGUUUUCCGGGAGAGUAUGCCUGUUUGAGGGUCAGCCUAAAUAAAUUCGGCUUCGUUGCUGUUGUUUUCGCGGUAACGUUUUUAGUCGGGAUUUGGGUCAUCUUAAACCGAAAGGUUUUUAAGCGACUUAAAAUUUUUUUACGAUCCCACGAACGUUUCUAAGUACUUCUUACACGUUCAAGGUAUCGAAAACCCCUAUUAGGCGUGGCCGUCGUAUCGGAUCGCGUCCAUAAUAUUUAUUCUUUAACUGACCUCAGACAGGUAAGAAUACCCGCUGAACUUAAGCAUAUCAAUAAGCGGAGGA
RNAcentral lists this unclassified non-coding RNA (391 nucleotides) under soil metagenome. Its description in RNAcentral is "partial contains 5.8S ribosomal RNA, internal transcribed spacer 2, and large subunit ribosomal RNA". The stretch from base 1 to 121 matches the Rfam family "5.8S ribosomal RNA", at positions 35 to 154 of the family's 154-position model. The record is from RNAcentral.